AUUGAACGCUGGCGGCAGGCCUAACACAUGCAAGUCGAGCGGAUGAAGGGAGCUUGCUCCUGGAUUCAGCGGCGGACGGGUGAGUAAUGCCUAGGAAUCUGCCUGGUAGUGGGGGAUAACGUCUGGAAACGGGCGCUAAUACCGCAUACGUCGUGAGGGAGAAAGUGGGGGAUCUUCGGACCUCACGCUCUCAGAUGAGCCUAGGUGGGAUUAGCUAGCUGGUGGGGUAAAGGCCUACUAAGGCGACGAUCCGUAACUGGACUGAGAGGAUGAUCAGUCACAUGAGAACGGGAACACGGACCAGGCUCCUGAGAGAGGCAGCAGAGGGGAAUGGUAGGCAGUAGGCGGAAACCUGGUCCAGUCGGGGCGCGUGUGUGGAGGAGGUCUUCGGAGUGUAAAGCACGUUAAGUUGGGAGAAAGGGCAGUAAGUUAAUACCUUGCGUUUGUGACGGUACCAACAAAAGAAGCACCGGCUAACUUCGUG
RNAcentral lists this ribosomal RNA (484 nucleotides) under uncultured bacterium. Its description in RNAcentral is "partial 16S ribosomal RNA". It matches the Rfam family "Bacterial small subunit ribosomal RNA", at positions 29 to 507 of the family's 1533-position model. The record is from RNAcentral.